RNAcentral lists this ribosomal RNA (1421 nucleotides) under uncultured bacterium. Its description in RNAcentral is "bacterial SSU rRNA". It matches the Rfam family "Bacterial small subunit ribosomal RNA". The record is from RNAcentral.
CUGGCGGGGUGCGUGAGACAUGCAAGUCGAACGGGGUUCAUCGGGCUUGCUCGGUGAACCUAGUGGCGGACGGCUGAGUAACGCGUAGGUGACCUGCCCGGAAGUGGGGAAUAACUGCCCGAAAGGGUGGCUAAUACCGCAUGUGGUCGGCGAAUCAGUUCGUCGUCCAAAGCCGCAAGGCGCUUCCGGAGGGGCCUGCGUCCGAUUAGCUAGUUGGUGGGGUAAUGGCUCACCAAGGUGACGAUCGGUAGCUGGUCUGAGAGGAUGAUCAGCCAGACUGGGACUGAGAACGGCCCAUACUCCUACGGGAGGCAGCAGUCGGGAAUUUUGCCCAAUGGACGAAAGUCUGAGGCAGCAACUCCGCGUGAGGGACGAAGGCCUUCGGGUUGUAAACCUCUUUUCUCAGGGAAGAUCCAAGACGGUACCUGAGGAAUAAGCCACGGCUAACUACGUGCCAGCAGCCGCGGUAAUACGUAGGUGGCGAGCGUUGUCCGGAUUUACUGGGCGUAAAGAGCGCGCAGGCGGCUGGGUAAGUCCGAUGUGAAAGCUUCCGGCUUAACUGGAAAACGGCAUCGGAAACUGCUCGGCUUGAAGGUGGGAGAGGGUAGCGGAAUUCCCGGUGUAGUGGUGAAAUGCCUAGAUAUCGGGAGGAACACCAGUGGCGAAGGCCGCUACCUGGCCCAUUCUUGACGCUGAGGCGCGAAAGCUAGGGGAAGCGAACGGGAUUAGAUACCCCGGUAGUCCUAGCCGUAAACGAUGAACACUAGGCGUAGUCGGUAUCGACCCCGGCUGUGCCGUAGCCAACGCAUUAAGUGUUCCGCCUGGGGAGUACGGCCGCAAGGCUAAAACUCAAAGGAAUUGACGGGGGCCCGCACAAGCAGCGGAGCGUGUGGUUUAAUUCGUCGGUACGCGAAGAACCUUACCAGGGCUUGACAUGCACCGGAAAACGGCGGAAACGUCGUCCUCCCGCAAGGGAUCGGUGUGCAGGUGUUGCAUGGCUGUCGUCAGCUCAUGUCGUGAGAUGUUGGGUUAAGUCCCGCAACGAGCGCCACCCCCGUGGCAUGUUGUACCACUCAUGCCAGACUGCCGAGAGAAACUCGGAGGAAGGUGGGGAUGAAGUCAAGUCAGCAUGGCCCUUACGCCCUGGGCUACACACACGCUACAAUGGCCGGUACAACGGGUUGCCAAGCCGCGAGGUGGAGCUAAUCCCUCAAAGCCGGUCUCAGUUCGGAUUGCAGGCUGCAACUCGCCUGCAUGAAGCUGGAGUUGCUAGUGACCGCAGGUCAGCACACUGCGGUGAAUAUGUUCCCGGGCCUUGUACACACCGCCCGUCACGUCAUGAAAGCCGAUAACACCCGAAGCCGGUGGGCCAACCGCAAGGAGGCAACCGUCGAAGGUGGGAUUGGUGAUUGGGACGAAGU